GUCCACGCGGUAAACGAUGAGAACUAGCCGUUGGGAACAAUUAGGUUUUCAGUGGCGCAGCUAACGCGAUAAGUUCUCCGCCUGGGGAGUACGGCCGCAAGGUUAAACUCAAAUGAAUUGACGGGGGCCCGCACAAGCGGUGGAGCAUGUGGUUUAAUUCGAUGCAACGCGAAGAACCUUACCUGGCCUUGACAUGUCGCGAACCCGGAAGAGAUUUCGGGGUGCCUUCUGGAGCGCGAACACAGGUGCUGCAUGGCUGUCGU
Molecule: ribosomal RNA, 263 nt
Filed under: uncultured bacterium
Lineage: Bacteria
Description: partial 16S ribosomal RNA
Rfam family: Bacterial small subunit ribosomal RNA
Source: RNAcentral